Small nuclear RNA from Lepus europaeus (European hare), 106 nucleotides. The record is from RefSeq and is a predicted model, not a curated record. Lineage: Eukaryota; Metazoa; Chordata; Mammalia; Lagomorpha; Leporidae.
GUGCUCACCUGGGCAGCACAUAUCUAAAAUUGGAACCACACAGAGAUGAUUAGCAUGGCCCCUGCUCAAGGAUGACAUGCAAAUUUGUGAAGCAUUCCAUAUUUUU